CUUCAAGCUGGAAUAGGGAUGACACAUCCUUUAACCCCAGGCAGAAAAGCUUUGCAUGGCCUGCUCUUACAGCACUCUCAGAUGGGAGCCCAGGCCUCUAAUAUUUAAAACUUGAUGCACAAACUGUUUUCUGGCAAGAUUCUGCUGCAGCCCAUCUGCUGGUCUGACAUGGUGCCCACUCAGAAGAUACAAUGCCAGUUUCAGUAGGGUACAGGUGCCAAAGACAACUGAAGCAGUGCCCUCUGCGAGGCAACAGCAUUACUCAGCAUAUGGAAGAAGAAUCCCCACACAUGAUGUGGCAGAACACUGCAGUGUAAGAGCAAUGACUUCUGCAGGCUUUGUAACAGGCUUUUGAAUACCAUGGAAAAUGAGUUACACAUUCCAAGUUAGGACUUUCAGCUUGCAGGGGACCCAAAAAGAAAAAGAAAGGGGGAAGAUUCCAGAGGAAGCACUCAUCAGCAAGAACUAGUAAAGGGCUACAAACCAGUUGUGAGACAUCAAUGCCACAGCCUUCCACAGGUGCUCUCCAUUCUGCUCCCCUCAUCAAAGGGUGACAGCUCUACCUGAGAGCAAAUCAGCACCAGCAACACAAACAUUUGGAACAG
This is a long non-coding RNA of Passer domesticus (house sparrow), 605 nucleotides long. RefSeq lists it as uncharacterized. The transcript has 3 exons. Lineage: Eukaryota; Metazoa; Chordata; Aves; Passeriformes; Passeridae. The record is from RefSeq and is a predicted model, not a curated record.